AUGCCGGUUGUUAUCAAGUUAAGAAACUUCAUAUGCAUUGGACAAGUCAUGUUGCUAUUGUGCUGCAGGAGGUUUUUUUUUUUCAUUGAUGGAACUGCUAUUUCUGUUAUCACUUCGACAAUGAAGUCUCGUCGACAUGGCUGCAGAGUGCUGUCAAUGCAACUUGUUGCAACCAAAAUGCAUUCCUUUGACGUCUCAUAUUCACAAGCAAGGCACAGACAAAGGCAGAAUCGAAGGAUACGCAUACACAUUUCACAGCACGUUACAACAUCUUUUCUUCUCGCAAUAGUAGAAAGCUACAGGUACAUACAGUGA
This 315-nucleotide ribosomal RNA is filed under the name Triticum aestivum (bread wheat). RNAcentral describes it as "partial small subunit ribosomal RNA". Lineage: Eukaryota; Viridiplantae; Streptophyta; Magnoliopsida; Poales; Poaceae. The record is from RNAcentral.